This 301-nucleotide ribosomal RNA is filed under the name uncultured bacterium. RNAcentral describes it as "partial 16S ribosomal RNA". It matches the Rfam family "Bacterial small subunit ribosomal RNA", at positions 509 to 807 of the family's 1533-position model. The record is from RNAcentral.
CAGUCGCCGCGGUAAUACGUAGGGUGCAAGAGUUAAUCGGAAUUACUGGGCGUAAAGCGUGCGCAGGCGGUUAUAUAAGACAGAUGUGAAAUCCCCGGGCUCAACCUGGGAACUGCAUUUGUGACUGUAUAGCUAGAGUACGGCAGAGGGGGAUGGAAUUCCGCGUGUAGCAGUGAAAUGCGUAGAUAUGCGGAGGAACACCGAUGGCGAAGGCAAUCCCCUGGGCCUGUACUGACGCUCAUGCACGAAAGCGUGGGGAGCAAACAGGAUUAGAUACCCCGGUAGUCCCUGUCUCUUAUAC